UACGGAGGGGGCUAGCGUUGUUCGGAAUUACUGGGCGUAAAGCGCACGUAGGCGGCUUUGUAAGUUAGAGGUGAAAGCCCGGGGCUCAACUCCGGAAUUGCCUUUAAGACUGCAUCGCUAGAAUUGUGGAGAGGUAAGUGGAAUUCCGAGUGUAGAGGUGAAAUUCGUAGAUAUUCGGAAGAACACCAGUGGCGAAGGCGACUUACUGGACACGUAUUGACGCUGAGGUGCGAAAGCGUGGGGAGCAAACAGG
This 253-nucleotide ribosomal RNA is filed under the name uncultured bacterium. Its description in RNAcentral is "partial 16S ribosomal RNA". It matches the Rfam family "Bacterial small subunit ribosomal RNA", at positions 524 to 776 of the family's 1533-position model. The record is from RNAcentral.